This 200-nucleotide long non-coding RNA is filed under the name Dromaius novaehollandiae (emu). RNAcentral's name for it is "lncRNA (ENSDNVG00000017863.1)". Lineage: Eukaryota; Metazoa; Chordata; Aves; Casuariiformes; Dromaiidae. The record is from RNAcentral.
UUCUGAACUUGGUUCCUUCCUGCUCCAGGAAGAAUAGCCUCUUUAAAACCAGCAACUAUUGGGAGGUGAAGCAUCAAAGCAAAGCAAAUAAAGGUCUGGGGACUAUUCUUGAGGAUACCUGAGGAACGACCUUGAAGCAGUCUGGAGUACUUGUCAUCUAGCCAACAGUAAAGGUGGGUUAAGCCUGAAUCGAGGUCUGA